AUGAGAAGGCAUCACAGAGAGAGAGGCAGAUGCUGCCGAUGGCUAGGUUUCGUAUUUGGGGAAAGGGGGCUAGUCUCAAGUCCAGCACUCACUAACAGUGGCAUGGGGUGGAACUCUUGGAAAUGGGACAUGAGUGACCCCCAUUGGCUUGUAUACAUCACAGAGAGAAUGAGAAGGCAUCACAGAGAGAGGAGCAGAAGAAGACCUAGAGAGGUACUGUCGAAAAGACACCCACAUCAGUACCUGCAUUGCAAUGGCAGAACGUCUGAUUGGAAAAGACUAAGCUCUACUUUUUCCUUCUUGUUGUUAAUGUACGAGACCCAGGGGCUUCCUGAUGACUUGGCAACUCGGUGCAGCGAUUUCGCGCACCAUUUUGCAGGCAAAGUUGCUCAGAUACGCCGUGAGUUGGACUCCAGCUUAACUGUAGUUCCAGUGGAGGUAACCGAGGUACCUGUCUGUUCGAUCUUAUGGGAUUCUUUCCGGCUUGUCCUUCCUGAUGACGUGGAGCGGAUUCUUGGGUCUGUGAGGGCGACCACUUGCGCUCUGGAUCCUUGUCCUUCUUGGAUGGUUAAGCUGGCCAAAGAUGGGUUGUUGGAUUGGUUUGUGGCUAUUAUAAAUGCCUCCUUGGGUCAGGGGUCAGUUCCAUCCUGCUUUAAGCAGGCAGUAGUAAAACCAUUACUAAAAAAGACCUCUUUAGACCCAUCUGUAUGUAGCAACUACAGACCAAUUUCCAACCUCCCAUUUUUGGGCAAGGUUCUGGAGCGGGUGGUUGCCACGCAGCUCCAGGAGUUCCUCGAUGACACUGAUUUUCUGGACCGCUCGCAGUCUGGCUUCAGGCCUGGGCACAGUACCGAGACGGCUUUGGUCGCCUUGGUGGAUGACCUCCGCAGGGAACUGGACAGGGGGAGUGUGACCCUGCUGGUUCUCUUGGACAUCUCAGCGGCUUUCGAUACCAUUGACCAUGGCAUCCUUCUGGGGAGGCUCUCUGGGAUGGGGCUCAGUGGCACGGUUCUGCUGUGGCUCCAGUCCUUCCUGGAGGGCCGUUCCCAGAUGGUGAAGCUGGGGGACACCUGCUCGGACCCCUGGCCUUUGACCUGUGGGCUCCCGCAAGGGUCUAUUCUAUCCCCAUGCUAUUUAACAUCUACAUGA
Molecule: long non-coding RNA, 1149 nt
Filed under: Anolis carolinensis (green anole)
Lineage: Eukaryota; Metazoa; Chordata; Lepidosauria; Squamata; Anolidae
Description: lncRNA (ENSACAG00000040233.1)
Source: RNAcentral